UAUGAGCUAAAAAAGGUAAUACUAUUUAGGAAACCUAUGCUCUUUGGCGGCCUUUUUUCUUAUUGAAGGAACUUGCUCACUAAUCGAAAUUACCCGCUCGUUUUCUCUUUUAUCUAGUUUUUAUACCGUCGUCUUAAGAAUAUCGUUAAAUAUAUUAUCCGACCCUGAUCAUUCGGGCAAGUCAGAUCAAGGUGAAGCUUUUAUAAAAGUCAUGGGUGAGUUAUGCUUAAGAGCUACUAAGGGCUUCUACUUCAAAAAGAUGCAUAAAUUAAGAUUCGACAGUACCUUAAUUCUAAAAAAAUUUAGGGAAGA
RNAcentral lists this ribosomal RNA (312 nucleotides) under Aname salina. Its description in RNAcentral is "Aname sp. 2 JDW-2023a partial small subunit ribosomal RNA". The record is from RNAcentral. Lineage: Eukaryota; Metazoa; Arthropoda; Arachnida; Araneae; Anamidae.